Molecule: ribosomal RNA, 250 nt
Filed under: uncultured bacterium
Lineage: Bacteria
Description: partial 16S ribosomal RNA
Rfam family: Bacterial small subunit ribosomal RNA
Source: RNAcentral
ACAAAGCAGUGAUGUGGAGCAAAACUCGAAAAGCAGUCUUAGUUCGGAUUGUAGGCUGCAACUCGCCUACAUGAAGUCGGAAUUGCUAGUAAUCGCGGAUCAGCAUGCCGCGGUGAAUACGUUCCCGGGCCUUGUACACACCGCCCGUCACACCAUGAGAGUUGGAGAUACCCGAAGCCUAUGAGCUAACUUUUAGAGGCAGUAGUCGAAGGUAGAAUCAAUGAUUGGGGUGAAGUCGUAACAAGGUAAC